UACAGAGGGUGCGAGCGUUAAUCGGAAUUACUGGGCGUAAAGCGCGCGUAGGCGGCUUUGCAAGUCGGGUGUGAAAUCCCCAGGCUUAACCUGGGAACUGCAUUCGAGACUGCAUUGCUAGAGUAUGGGAGAGGGAAGUGGAAUUUCCGGUGUAGCGGUGAAAUGCGCAGAUAUCAGGAGGAACACCGAUGGCGAAGGCAGUUCUCUGGGCCGUAACUGACGCUGAGGAGCGAAAGCGUGGGGAGCGAACAGG
This 253-nucleotide ribosomal RNA is filed under the name uncultured bacterium. Its description in RNAcentral is "partial 16S ribosomal RNA". It matches the Rfam family "Bacterial small subunit ribosomal RNA", at positions 524 to 776 of the family's 1533-position model. The record is from RNAcentral.